RNAcentral lists this ribosomal RNA (458 nucleotides) under uncultured bacterium. Its description in RNAcentral is "partial 16S ribosomal RNA". It matches the Rfam family "Bacterial small subunit ribosomal RNA", at positions 338 to 795 of the family's 1533-position model. The record is from RNAcentral.
CCUACGGGUGGCAGCAGUGGGGAAUAUUGCACAAUGGGGGAAACCCUGAUGCAGCGACGCCGCGUGAGUGAAGAAGUAUUUCGGUACGUAAAGCUCUAUCAGCAGGGAAGAAAAACCGGCCUUAGGGCCGCCCGACGGUACCUGACUAAGAAGCACCGGCUAACUACGUGCCAGCAGCCGCGGUAAUACGUAGGGGGCAAGCGUUAUCCGGUUGUACUGGGUGUAAAGGGAGCGUAGACGGCUGCGCAAGUCUGAAGUGAAAUGCCGGGGCCCAACCCCGGAACUGCUUUGGAAACUGUGCAGCUGGAGUGCAGGAUAGGUAAGUGGAAUUCCAAGUGUAGCGGUGAAAUGCGUAGAGAUUAGGAGGAACACCAGUGGCGAAGGCGGCUUACUGGACUGUAACUGACGUUGAGGCUCGAAAGCGUGGGGAGCAAACAGGAUUAGAUACCCCUGUAGUC